AAAGGGAUCCUUUGCCUGGCCAGAAAACUGCUUCUAAUUGGCAAUAAUUUGCAUGGCUAUUCCACUGCUGGUUGCAAAAGUAAUCCUCCAUAAAUCAGCAGCUCGUCAUGGAAGCCGGCAACAAAUCAUAAAGCAGGAGCUAAAUGAGUAUAACCACAAAUUUUAAUUACUUUUAAAACUGUGAUUAACCUUAAUUAUGUUUUGUUGCAAGAAAUCAUCUUUGCAAUCCAAACUAUGGUUAUGUUUAGCUGAACUAUCCUGGAUUGCAAGCCAUAGUAAUCAAAAUGGAUGUGAAAGGUUUGCUGGUGACCACAGUGAAAGAUGAUACAAAAGAAGGGCCAUGACUUCAGAGGGGAGAGAUCAGAUUUCUCUCUUAUAUAAGGUCAGUCCUAGAGAUCAACCCUGACUCCUCUUUAGAAGGCCAGAUCCUGAAGAUGAAACUGAAAUACUUUGGCCACUUAAUGAGAAGGAAGGACUCACUGGAAAAGAGCCUAAUCCUGGGAAUGAUUGAGGGCAAAGAAAGAACAGGAUGGCAGAGAAUGAGGUGGCUGGAUGGAGUCACUGAAGCAGUCAGCUAUCUCUGCAAAGAAAGAUCAGAAUCAUGCAGGCCAAGGUUUUCCCUAUGACACUCAGAAGGUGAAAGUUGGAUUUGAAGAAAGAAGUAUAGAAAGAGUAUUGAUGCUUUUGAGAUCUCCUGUUGAAAAAGGCACCUGAGAAAGCUUGGAUAGCUAAGAAAACAAAUGCAUGGAUCAUAAAAGAAGUCAAUCCAGAUUUCUCAUUUGAGGCA
Molecule: long non-coding RNA, 787 nt
Organism: Pantherophis guttatus
Lineage: Eukaryota; Metazoa; Chordata; Lepidosauria; Squamata; Colubridae
Source: RefSeq, a predicted model, not a curated record